GGGGAUGUAGCUCAGUGGUAGAGCACAUGCUUUGUAUGGUUGAGGUCCUGGGUUUGAUCCCCAGCAUCUCCA
Molecule: non-coding RNA, 72 nt
Organism: Ictalurus punctatus (channel catfish)
Lineage: Eukaryota; Metazoa; Chordata; Actinopteri; Siluriformes; Ictaluridae
Source: the annotation of a RefSeq genome assembly